GCGCCCGUAGCUCAGUCGGAUAGAGCACCAGAUUCCUAAUCUGGGGGUCGCAGGUUCGAAUCCUGCCGGGCGCGCCA
This 77-nucleotide transfer RNA is filed under the name Alphaproteobacteria bacterium. RNAcentral's name for it is "tRNA-Arg". It matches the Rfam family "tRNA". Rfam says of the family: Transfer RNA (tRNA) molecules are approximately 80 nucleotides in length. Their secondary structure includes four short double-helical elements and three loops (D, anti-codon, and T loops). RNAcentral also lists the same sequence under 2 other names. Lineage: Bacteria; Pseudomonadati; Pseudomonadota; Alphaproteobacteria. The record is from RNAcentral.